UCGCACGGUCAGCAAUGGCAGUGGCGGACGGGUGAGUAACACGUAGGAAUCUAUCCCAGGGUGGGGGACAACAGCGGGAAACUGCUGCUAAUACCGCAUGAUACCUGAGGGUCAAAGGCGCAAGUCGCCUUGGGAGGAGCCUGCGUCUGAUUAGCUUGUUGGUGAGGUAAAGGCUCACCAAGGCUACGAUCAGUAGCUGGUCUGAGAGGAUGAUCAGCCACAUUGGGACUGAGACACGGCCCAAACUCCUACGGGAGGCAGCAGUGGGGAAUAUUGGACAAUGGGCGAAAGCCUGAUCCAGCAAUGCCGCGUGUGUGAAGAAGGUCUUCGGAUUGUAAAGCACUUUUGGCAGGGACGAUGAUGACGGUACCUGCAGAAUAAGCCCCGGCCAACUACGUGCC
This 401-nucleotide ribosomal RNA is filed under the name uncultured bacterium. Its description in RNAcentral is "bacterial SSU rRNA". It matches the Rfam family "Bacterial small subunit ribosomal RNA", at positions 62 to 509 of the family's 1533-position model. The record is from RNAcentral.